RNAcentral lists this long non-coding RNA (416 nucleotides) under Phoenix dactylifera (date palm). Its description in RNAcentral is "long non-coding RNA (PDAC_LNC005423)". Lineage: Eukaryota; Viridiplantae; Streptophyta; Magnoliopsida; Arecales; Arecaceae. The record is from RNAcentral.
GAUGGGGGUGGUCAUGCCCAGUUUGUAGGGACUUGGGGUAUUGAGAAUGUCUUAGGUAUUGAUACCACAUUGAUCUAAUCUGAGACGCUUGGCAUGAGCCAUGUUGGAUCAAAUUCUCAAUCCUUGGUUGGAUGUCAAAUCUAUUGGCAUGUAGCCUCUUGGCAUUAAACAAUUAGAUUUUGAUGAUAUGGGAAGGUUAUAAUUCUAUAGAUAAAGGGUUUCAACUGGUUCAACUGGAAAAAUUGCUCACUAUUAUCAUCAAUGACAUGAAAAAAUGAUACCCUACACCAUGUGCAUCACAUCAACGAUGCGCCACGCCAACCAAAAUUUUCAUUUCUAUAUGCACCAUUCAUUAUACAGCGCAUCUAGAAUUAUUGCACUCUCCCAUCUUAUCUUAGAUUGUUCCUGUGGUGCAC